UUCAGGGAGUGAAGCUCUACAAGAAUUUCAUAGUGGCUAUAGGAACUCAAAAAUCCGUGUCGGACAGUGUAAUCAGUCGAUGAAAUUAUCGCAAAAAAACUCACGCACAAUUAAGACUGAAGACGUGCCGUAGCAAUGCCUGUAUAAAACUUUUUAUUAGACUGCCUGAGUUCGUCAUUUCGUGGAUCUUAUACUAAUUGUUUAUCGUUACAUUCGGGCGGUCUUCGUAAGCUGAUCUAUUGUCACGUCCCGCGACUAAAGCACCAUUUGCAAUUUGACACCAUUUGAGCGCUCGGCCUUUCAACUUUAAAAUCCGAAAAUGAUCAAUCACGAAAUACAAAUCAAAUGUUCACAAAAGACAACAAAAGACACAAAAAAUUAUAAACUCACCACGAACGAGAAUCACAGCUCGCCGAAUAAAAACACAAUCGAAUAAGCACCCGUAGAAACAGAAACUGAAAGUAAAAAUAAACGAACUGUGAUUGCACUCGCGACUGGUCUUAGCUAAUUAUAUACAGACUUCGUCCUUCCUACCGAUAUCCCAACGUCUAAGGCAAGGGCCCGCUAGGAUAGCCUUACCGAUGAGUCCUCUAGCGGUCCCUUUUCACUUUCAACUACCCAAAAACCUAAGAUCCAACUGACGCGAUGGCCCAGCAAACGUAGCCAUCCCCGCCAACAAGUAUCCCCAUACCAUUCAGUUUCGCGCGCUGUGGUGAUAGCAAUACACUGGUGGAAAACGCGAAGCAAACGUGACUGCAAUAAGCACCAGCAGCGCGCCAGCGGAUACAGAUACGAAAGGUAUGCAGCGAGAUGAGUCACCGAAGACUCGGUCUCACGAAGCAGACGUGACUGCGAUAAGCACCUGCGCGCCAGCGGAUGCAGAUAGGAAUGGAAUGCAGCGAAGACAGACCGCGAAGUGCCCCCACUCAGUCGCACGAGUGCCCCCACCUGUUUGACCACUGACUGCGCUCUAUAAAAACACUGGCGAGAGGACCGCAGUAGUCAGUCUAUCAAGCAGAAGUCAAAGAGUUCGUUACGUUUCCACACAAAAUCUUAAAAUUAAUUAUUAACGUCGAAUAAUAUACAUUAAGAUGGAAGGUUCGAAAAAGCAGACAUGUAAAAAGCGUCGAGGGGGUCGUAAAACGAGAUAUUAUCGAAAGGUCCGUGCAUUGAAAAAGGAAUUCUGCGUUAAAUUUGAACAACGGCUACGUGACAUCGAAAGGGAGCUGGCUGAAGAGUCUCUGAAGCCUAAUCCGAUCCCGGACUCUUUCCCGUCUGUAGAGGUUUACGACCCAGUGUCGACUAAAGAACGGGCCAACGACGACGAUAUCGGGAUACUGUUUGAAAAUGAAAAUCAACACAACCCUGAUUAGGAUCCCGAAUAUUUUAAUAUAAAUUUACUAAACAUUUAAUAACUUCGACAAUUAAAGUUAAUUUUGUUUUUGUUUUAAUAAACCAGUACAAUAGAGUCUUGGA
Megalopta genalis is the source of this 1476-nucleotide non-coding RNA. The record is from RefSeq and is a predicted model, not a curated record. NCBI's taxonomy places the organism in Eukaryota, Metazoa, Arthropoda, Insecta, Hymenoptera, Halictidae.